GGAAUAUUAUAGAAACCUUGUUUUCUCAAGAGGACAAUGGGAGUGUAGGCUGCUGGAAGCAAUUUUAUUUCGUUUUCUUUGAGUUCUCAUUAUUAAAUAAUAAAGCAUGAUCUUCUCUGCUUUAGCAAAUCAGUGUCAUCAAAUAAGCCAGCAUAAUUAGACUCACGGAUUCCAGCCUGAAUUUCUGGUCAGCAAAAAUGUUAAAGCCAAUCAAAACCAAAAUACUCUCAGUUCGCUUUUCUGAACUGUAACACUAAUAUAAUUUUUUUUUCUUUUCAGGAAGGGGAAUGUUCUUGUUUAUGGUUUCCUUUGAUCAAUUACCUCAGAUCAUUCCCAAUGCUAAAAAAAAAUAGUCUUGACUGGAAUCCUGCUUCAGCAUUUGGGACUGAUGCUGAAAGUAGUCUAGAAGCAUUGGAUCUUUCGCGUGUUUUGCGACGGUGCGCCUGAGUCACUUAUGCUCUGGGUGACUAAAGUUCUCGGCCCUUCUCUCGAAGCACCUGGAAGGACUGGAUGCAAUGCCGCUGGCUGGGAGGACCCUCCCUGAGCUCUCCUGGGUGGUGACAUCCACCAUCUUUGAACUUCCCAAGGGGUGUCUCAGCUGCUGUCCUGGAACGGCGCUAGAAGAGGAAGGAGGCUGGUUUCCCAUUGCUGGAAUUCGAAUUUCCAAUCUUGGGUCUCCGGCUUUAUUUACCCAGAAACCGUGGAGCAGAGUGUUCUACAAAGGAGGCCAUCACAGCUGGAUGUGUUCCACACAAGCCUCUGUCCUGUGAGUCAGGGCUGCAGACGGGUGAACCAGGUCGUGUUGGAUGCAGGUGCCAGACAAGGGCACAGCCUUUCCCUUACCUGCACAUCUCCUUCAGGAGCCCCAUCAGGCUGCGGGCUGGUCUUGGCCACAGUUGUUGUGCCAGGUUGAGGUAGCAGGUUCUUGAGGUCCACAGGAUGAUUCCGAGAAGACCCAGUGACAUGUCCAUGUGCCGUGAGUUGCGUUAUAAGAGAGGAACCCUGAGCUUAAGAAGGCCCAGUAUUUUAUGCAGCAUGGUAAACACGCCUGCCCUUUGCUCCGGAAGGAGACAUGAUCUCCGUUUUCCAAGGCUGUUCUGUGUACAAACAAAUAUCAGAACAGAACAAAUAUCCUUGAAAAGAUAUUUUGGAACAAAGACAGCCAGUGCCACCGUUCACAACAAGUGCAGAAUUUUGAGAGACCCCAUGGAGAAUUAUCUCCCAACAGUUGUUGUUUGGUGG
Molecule: long non-coding RNA, 1242 nt
Organism: Leopardus geoffroyi (Geoffroy's cat)
Lineage: Eukaryota; Metazoa; Chordata; Mammalia; Carnivora; Felidae
Exons: 4
Source: RefSeq, a predicted model, not a curated record